UAGGAAAAAUCGCUGAAUCCUUAAUGGAGCGGGGGAACCAAUUUAGUAACGCGCAUGUGCGUUACUUGGGGUGAAUCCGAUGAGGAAGGGCUACCUCUCCAUGCCCUAACCCGACAGCUAACCUCGUAAGCGUUUUGGGGGGAUGUA
This 147-nucleotide small RNA is filed under the name Geobacillus sp. RNAcentral's name for it is "c-di-AMP sequence". It matches the Rfam family "c-di-AMP riboswitch aptamer (ydaO/yuaA leader)". From Rfam's summary of the family: This family represents a conserved RNA structure found upstream of the ydaO and yuaA genes in Bacillus subtilis and related genes in other bacteria. The ydaO/yuaA element is thought to act as a genetic "off" switch for the ydaO and yuaA genes in its native state. It is believed that the element may be triggered during osmotic shock leading to activation of ydaO, a predicted amino acid transporter gene, and members of the yuaA-yubG operon which code for KtrA and KtrB K+ transporters. Lineage: Bacteria; Bacillati; Bacillota; Bacilli; Caryophanales; Anoxybacillaceae. The record is from RNAcentral.